Molecule: ribosomal RNA, 495 nt
Filed under: uncultured bacterium
Lineage: Bacteria
Description: partial 16S ribosomal RNA
Rfam family: Bacterial small subunit ribosomal RNA
Source: RNAcentral
GACGAACGCUGGCGGCGUGCCUAAUACAUGCAAGUAGAACGCUGAAGGAGGAGCUUGCUCUUCUGGAUGAGUUGCGAACGGGUGAGUAACGCGUAGGUAACCUGCCUGGUGGCGGGGGAUAACUAUUGGAAACGAUAGCUAAUACCGCAUAACAGUAGAUGUUGCAUGACAUUUGCUUAAAAGGUGCAAUUGCACCACUACCAGAUGGACCUGCGUUGUAUUAGCUAGUUGGUGGGGUAACGGCUCACCAAGGCGACGAUACAUAGCCGACCUGAGAGGGUGAUCGGCCACACUGGGACUGAGACACGGCCCAGACUCCUACGGGAGGCAGCAGUAGGGAAUCUUCGGCAAUGGACGGAAGUCUGACCGAGCAACGCCGCGUGAGUGAAGAAGGUUUUCGGAUCGUAAAGCUCUGUUGUAAGAGAAGAACGAGUGUGAGAGUGGAAAGUUCACACUGUGACGGUAUCUUACCAGAAAGGGACGGCUAACUACGUG